AAUUAAAUGGUAAAGAAUCUGCCUGCAAUGCAGAAGACCAGGGUUCAAUCCCUG
Molecule: transfer RNA, 54 nt
Filed under: Ovis aries (sheep)
Lineage: Eukaryota; Metazoa; Chordata; Mammalia; Artiodactyla; Bovidae
Source: Rfam by way of RNAcentral